Molecule: ribosomal RNA, 514 nt
Filed under: uncultured bacterium
Lineage: Bacteria
Description: partial 16S ribosomal RNA
Rfam family: Bacterial small subunit ribosomal RNA
Source: RNAcentral
AACGAACGUUAGCGGCGCGCCUAAUACAUGCAAGUCGAGCGAGAAAGGGCUUCGGCCCCGGUACAGCGGCGCACGGGUGAGUAACACGUAGGUAAUCUUCCCUCGAGUGGUGGAUAACCCUCGGAAAGGAGAGCUAAUACAGCAUAAGACUACGGCCUUGAGUAGGCUGCGGUCAAAGCAGGCCACUACAUGUAAGCUUGCGCUUGAGGAUGAGCCCGCGGCCCAUCAGCUAGUUGGUAGGGUAAUGGCCUACCAAGGCAUAGACGGGUAGCUGGUCUGGGAGGAUGAACAGCCACACUGGAACUGAGACACGGUCCAGACUCCUACGGGAGGCAGCAGUAGGGAAUCUUGCGCAAUGGGCGAAAGCCUGCCGCAGCGACGCCGCGUGAGCGAUGAAGGCCUUCGGGUUGUAAAGCUCUGUGGGGAGAGAAGAAUAAGUGUUGGCUAAUAUCCAGCAUGAUGACGGUAUCUCCUUAGCAAGCACCGGCUAACUCUGUGCCAGCAGCCGCCGUAA